CAUAUCGCCGGAGCUGCUGUCGCCCGAGAGCAUGGGGGUGAAGCUGAAGCCCAUCAAGACCCGGACCUCCCUCAUUGUCUAAACAGCAUGUGGGGGGAGAUCUUGGAUGGCCUGACGACACAGCUCGCAAAAAAGCGAAGACUGCUUGGUCGAGCUGAUCGGAGCACGGUCACCAUCGCGAGACAAGUUUUGAUACCUUCCGGUACCUUGGCACGGAACGCAUUGCAUAGAUCGAGAUCGAUACGCUAAUGGCAGCAUUUGCUGUAGUGGAUUGCUGUAAGCCUGUAAUCUACGUCUUCUGGGAUAGGCAAGCAAGGGGAAUAGGGUUGAGGUUGUAGGGGAGGAAUACGGCUGUUUGUUUCUUUGUUCAUAUAUGCUUUGUAGUAGUCCACAUCACAUGUGUAUAUGUCAUCAUCAGAUCAUUUCACACGGGAA
This 435-nucleotide long non-coding RNA is filed under the name Triticum aestivum (bread wheat). Its description in RNAcentral is "long non-coding RNA (TAES_LNC025227)". The record is from RNAcentral. Lineage: Eukaryota; Viridiplantae; Streptophyta; Magnoliopsida; Poales; Poaceae.